UAGAACGACGAACAACGACUGUCGCACUUUUGUUUUAAAAGAUGGCUCGGCUAAACUUUCUUUCCCAGUACAAGUGGACACUAGAUGACUGCACUCGUCUUCUGCAGACAGAUUACGCUGGGCCUGCUGUGUUGGAAUCCACAUUAACCAGAUUACAGAUUAUUUCAGAAUUCUGAGAGCAGUGGACCACUACGACGUCGACAAAGGUGCAGAGCAAGGUGUCAAAUUACUUUUAAAGUAUCACUUCUGAAGAAUUCCAUUCAGAGGAUCACUUCACAUAUGGGACCGCCAGUCCAGGCUUCACCCGCCACUUUCUGCAUGGCUGCAGUCAUUCACAGGACCACCAGUCCAGGCUCCAGCCAGCGCUGGUAGCCAUAAUCCUGAGGAUAUGAGGGAAGACAUCUACAUGGACUCAGGUGCAACAGCCCCAAUGAUGUCAGAUGUUUGGCUGAGAUUUUUAAAUACUUUCAAAAUGACCAUCUAGACCUCAGUUGCAUUAUCAGUCAUUGCCAGGCGCAAAAACAUUCUUCAGAGUGCAUGUGUUGCUCUAAGCAGGAGCUAUUUUGCCUUGCAUAAACUGCCACAUAUCGAGUUCGUUGGGGAGAUGGCAGAAGAUUACGGAGGUUCAAGGAGAGAGUAUUUCAGACUCGUCAUGAUUGAACUACAGGAAAAGAUGGGCAUCUUCCAAGGAAGACCGGGGUGGCUGCUUUUCAGCUAUGACCAACGGGCGCUGGCACAAAACAAGUUUUACACUGCGGGAAAGCUGGUGGCCUGGUCCAUUAUCCACAAUGGACCAGGAAUCCGAUGCCUGAACAAAGACCUAUUUCUGCUCAUGUGUGGCCAGAUAGUCUUGUUUUAUGGAUUUUUUUGGAUUUAGGCCAGUAUGGUCCAACAGUUCAUUGCUGGGAUGAAUUCAUGUGGCCAGAUGUGGGAGAUGGUGGUUGUGAUGAACUGCAGAGAGUUCCUCCCACUGUUCACAAACGCAACACAGAUAGAAUGACAUCAGGAACUUCUUCACAAUAUCCUGGAGUCCACGGGGCAGCAACCACAGAGAACAGGAGGAGGAGACUGUCUUCCAGUGGGAGUGCUGGCUGAUGUCCAUUCAAGUAUGUGUCUCAGCAGAAGAGGACAUGGAUAUUUCCUUUGAGGAGUUGCUGGUUUGUGACAGGGGCCGAUUCUGUCCCUCCUCUUGGGUUCCCGCAGAAAUGCCAGCUUGACUUCUAUAAUCAGGAAGAUGGGAGCUGCCGCAUUCCUUAUUCAUAGCCUUUGCCUCUUCCUCCCGAGAGGGGUUACAGAAGAAGAGGAGUUCAGAAGACUUAUGUUCCUUACACUGAAAGGGUCUUUUGGUUUUGGGAAGGUGUGAGGGAGAACAAAAAUGCAUUCAUAUCAUGGGAUGUAGGCUUGGAUUUUUCACCAUCAAUCAGAUGUUGCGGCUGUAUGCAUUGGAAAUCAGUUAGUUUAUGUUUGUUUAUGUUGGAGCGUUUACAAAGGAGACUGUUGAUGGAACUAGAUACAUAAUGUUAUUAAUUAUAACCUUACCACCCUUGCCCUUCAUACAUGAAGGACAAGUUCCUUGCCCUUAAAGGGUCUCUUGGUUUUGGGAAGGUGUGAUGGAAAACAAAGUGUUCAUAUUAUGGUAAG
Molecule: long non-coding RNA, 1641 nt
Organism: Micropterus dolomieu (smallmouth bass)
Lineage: Eukaryota; Metazoa; Chordata; Actinopteri; Centrarchiformes; Centrarchidae
Exons: 8
Source: RefSeq, a predicted model, not a curated record